This 1503-nucleotide long non-coding RNA is filed under the name Homo sapiens (human). RNAcentral describes it as "HSALNT0242757". The record is from RNAcentral. Lineage: Eukaryota; Metazoa; Chordata; Mammalia; Primates; Hominidae.
CCACCUCUGGCAUCUUUCUACGCUUUCACCUGGAGAGAGGAGCUGCUCUUGGUUCAUUGUGAUCCAUGCCUUUUCCUCUCCCUGACUUGUGUCAGGUGGCUAACCUGGGGGAGUGCCAAAGAAACAAUAACUACGUUUUCAUCCUGGUUUGGGGAGGCUGCUAAUUUCCCUUGACCUCCAGCUGGUUUCCAAGCUGUUUUAGGAGAGGAAGACAGAGUUUCCAAGUUAGGAGAGGAAGACAGAGUUCCAAGUGAAUGCCAUCCACAUACCACCUUCCCAGACCCCAUAGCUCACAGGCCCCCAUAGGUCAUCAGCUCUUACUUUCUCCCUCUGGAAAGGAAUGGAAGAAGAGGUGAAAUGUUACUUCAUUUGGAAGCCUCCUACCAUCUCUAUCUGAACCUGGCUCCCUCUCCCUAGGCAGCAAAACCAAAUUCCCAAACCUACCUACGUCAGCGAUGGCCUGCUUGAUAUUUCAGAGAAGAGGGACCCCUGAGGACUUCACCUCAGAUUCUUGGAAGAAUGUGAUUCAGUCCACAGUAGCCUUUCAGAGACUGUAUACUCAAGCCAGACCAAAGUAUCCCUCUUCCCAUUCAGAGCCAGUGAGGACCUGUCUCUGUCCCUGCUCCUCCUGUGCCCUCUGUGUGCGGUGUCCUUUCCCAUCUCCUGCUGGCUUACAUGGCUUCAAGCUCCACCUCAAAGCGUCCUGCACCAGGCAUUGCCAGCGAUCUCCCCUUCACAAUGGUCUAGCUCCUAUGGUCUGUGUCUCCUUAUUUCUUCUGACCUUCUUUCUUUCACCCCUGUGUUAUAAAUGUACUUGUUCUAACUUCCCCCACUGGGCUAUAGGUUUCUUUAUGUUACAGAACACAAACCUACCAUUCACUUUUGUUUCCCCUAUAGGCAUUCAGCAAAUGAACCCUUAACCUAAAAGCUGCCCAAGUUUCUGGUGCCCAGGGAAAAGCUGCUUAUUUCUGUUUCUUCUGGGGCACUUCCUAAGCUGUCCCUCUUUCAAAACACACUUACUUCCUGCCAUCUUCCAAUUCUCACUCCCAGGAAGCUCCCGACAGAGCUCUAUUUUCCAGAAUCAGGGAGAGGCGCCUGGGUUCUUUCCCAGCACACGCCUGUGUUCUACAUCCCCACCCAAUACCACAUUAACCUGCAGGCAGGGGGAGGUGCCAAGCAGUGCCCACAAACAACAGCUCUUCCACGCUCCUCCGUUCCCUCCCCAGUGUAAACCCAUCACACGACCUUGCUCCACUCACUUUAGGGAGAAGUUUGAGGCUCCCCUGCAGAUGUGCUCCCACUUCACAGGGAGGCAGUGGGCACAGUGGAAAGCUCAGUGGCCCACAAGUUGGAAACCCAGGCUCUCAGCUUUCUCUGACUCUGAUAUCUUGAAAAGCCAUUUCUCUUCCAGAUCUUGUCUCUAUAAAAAUAAAAUUAGUGCCUCCCAAACCUUUUCCAGCUGCAUAACCCUUUGUUUAAGUGAAAUCUUACAUGAAAACGAAG